UUCAUGACUGACAUUCAUUUU
This 21-nucleotide non-coding RNA is filed under the name Caenorhabditis elegans. The record is from RNAcentral. Lineage: Eukaryota; Metazoa; Nematoda; Chromadorea; Rhabditida; Rhabditidae.